Long non-coding RNA from Fundulus heteroclitus (mummichog), 1188 nucleotides. RefSeq lists it as uncharacterized. The record is from RefSeq and is a predicted model, not a curated record. The transcript has 3 exons. Lineage: Eukaryota; Metazoa; Chordata; Actinopteri; Cyprinodontiformes; Fundulidae.
UGUGUGCCAGAGCCUGAAAUAGGCCUGAUGGCAGCUGUCAGCUUCUAUCUGAUGGGAGACGGCGGAGGAGCCGGAGAGAGAGACGCCGAGAUGACAGAGUAAGCACAGCCACUGGACGCAACGCUGGAUGAGGAUCAAUGAGGAGAGUAAGGGAGCUUAAAAAAUAUUUCAAGGCUCCCUGUGAGAGAACUGCAGCAACGAUUGACAUCUUGGAAUCUUCAAAUCCUCGUAACAACCAGUAGAUGCUGUGUACCUGCUAAUCGAGGGCUGAGGAGUGAUGCCAGACAAAAUCCUUUUCUUCCCUACCAUCACAAAGGAUCCAAAUCAGAGACAAGGAGAAUCCCAGGUGGACUUCAGCCCGCAGCAGAAGAAGAAAAAAUAAAAAGCGUAUUUGUGCCAGGGAAGUGGACACGGCACACAACGACCCAGAAGGCCUCCGCAGGGACCCAGUAUUUCUUCAGCACCCUCCACAUCAUACCUUCCCUGACUCGGUUUGUCAGCCUUCUCCCCAUCCAUAAGCAAGAUAUGCAUCAUAAAACCAAACUGCUAAGGCCUUCUGUGUAAUUUCACGGGGGUAAAGAUGUGAAAGCGCUGCUUCUCAUUAAUCAGUUGAGGCCUCUUUCUAACACCAUCCAGUGAGCUUCCCACAGAGUGUGACUAGUGUACUCUCAAUAAUUGGAACACCCUCUGUUGCUCCCCUUUCAUAAAACCUGAGACCACCUACCCAGUCUGCCCAUCCACAGACUAUGCCUGAAUCCUCUAGGCGACAAUGAAGAGGGAUGUCAGGAAAGACGGCGCUCAAAGCCGUCAACAUCUUCAGCGUCUCGGGCCUAAUCUUGUCCACCCUCAGUGCCCGCGCUGAAUAUCUCUUUUUAAUGACUUUGGCCACCUCUGCCAUGGGGAUGGACUCUUGAGACGAGGACCGGAUUGGAGCUGCAGUACAGUUUUCAUUAAAUUCCUUAUGGGCCAACCUAAAAUCUCUCUCCACAGCCCGUCUAAAUUCUUCCUGUGCCAGAGUGUUUGUUUCCAUAGACGCCACAAAUCUCGGCCUCUGCUUCAGAAGAACCCAAGUCCCUUGAUUACCAGGAGAUUUUAAAUGACUUGGUGGAUCGUUAAUGGUUCUUCAAUGGGACAAUGAUCAGAAAUAUAUGGCUAUGAAUAGCUGACCAGGCUAUGCUAGGGUGGCUU